RNAcentral lists this transfer RNA (65 nucleotides) under Lasiolabops cosmopolites. RNAcentral's name for it is "tRNA-Arg". Lineage: Eukaryota; Metazoa; Arthropoda; Insecta; Hemiptera; Miridae. The record is from RNAcentral.
AAAAGUAGUGAAGUAAAUAUUACACUUAGUUUCGACCUAAGAUUAGAGGAAAACCUCCUUGCUUU